UAGAUUCUAAUUUUUUUUUUUUAUUAUUUCAUUGGUUACUCAGCUAUUGAGUAGGUUCCACCUCUGAUCUUCAUUGAAUUUGUAAUCAAGAGUUUUUAUUUGAUUUUUAUUUGAUGUUGAGUUUUGAAUUAAUAAUUUUACAAAUAGAUGAUUUAUUUCUUGGAAUAAUUCAACUCUAAGAGUGAAUAUUUCUCAACUCAAAUUCUUAUGAAGCAUUCUUCUCUGAUAAAUUCUAUAUAUAUGUUAAUUCAACUUAAAAAUUAUUUUAGCUAGCUCAAAUUUUUUUUUUUUUUUUUAGAAUGUAGCUUUCACACACUUGAGUGGAGGGAGUAUGUAACAAUUUUGGACGUGAUUAUUUUUAUCUUGUUUUUCUGUUAUUUCGGUUCUAAAUUCGAUUGUAUUAUCAGCUUGUUUUUCUCAGUGAGACAAAGAUGCACUUAUGGGAUCGAGCUGUACCCUUCGAAUAAUCUACUUUCUUGUUCUCUCCAGUUCUUUUUUGCUAUUUUCUUUCUCCCUUUUUCUGUCCUUGUUGGUAGCUUUGAGUUUGCAUUGCUCUUUCUCUCUAGUUUCUUUGUCUAAUUUUGAUAAUUCCGUUUUGCUUACGUCACUGUCUUGUUUGCUACCCCGUCUUCAACGCUCGAUGAUCCAUUCUGUCUCUGAAUUUCGUGAGUGGAGGUUGUAAAUUUAACUUUUUCCUUUGAUUCCAUUUUUAUUUAGCUUAUGCUAAAUUUUUCUAUUUAUUACAAUAUGUAGUUGAUCAGAGACAGAUUUCAUACAUCACAAGUUGUGAUAUUAUUAUUAUUUUCUUUAUUUUUUUUUAUUUCCUUUUUAAAUAUGUAAAUUUUCUUGUUUGUUAUAAAAAAAAAAAAAAAAAGAAAAGUAAUCAUGUCCGAAAAUUUAAUUGAGUAUUCAUUCUAGCUGGCCUAAGUUAUGGCAAUUUAUUUAUAUUUGUUGAAAACCUCAUUCAUCACAUAUGUAUCCAUAGUAAUUUCUACAAUUUCCGCUGUACAGCGGACGUUGACACGUAGACACGUAGACACGUAGACACGUAAACUCGUAGACUCAUAGACUCAUAGACUCGUAGACUCGUAGACUCGUAGUAUCACAGGAUGUCUUAGUUAUGGCCAUGGAAGCUGAAUCCUUGCUGACCAACUCAUCACAAGGAAACCAAUAUUUCCAGAAAAGAUCUAAAUUCGCCGUAAAAAGGAUACUUCAAGAACUUCUUGUGCAGUGAAAAAUUAAUAAGUGAAAAAUUUGAAUAAAGUGUACGGAGGCCUCCUCACUUCAAUACACCAGGUAUUUACGAAACAACCAAUAUUAAUUUAUGGAAAAUUCACAGGCAACUACUUCGCAAAAAUAAAUGGGACAGGAUAAUAAAUAAAUUUGUAAUUACUUGA
Molecule: long non-coding RNA, 1397 nt
Organism: Nilaparvata lugens (brown planthopper)
Lineage: Eukaryota; Metazoa; Arthropoda; Insecta; Hemiptera; Delphacidae
Exons: 2
Source: RefSeq, a predicted model, not a curated record